UUUAUUUUAACUGUAAGGUAGAAUUUCAGUUUAAGGGAAGAACAAUGAGUUGUAAAACAUAAGAAUUAUUUUUUGGACCAGGAUUAGAUACCCUGUUACUUUUAUGAAGAGAUUUUGGAACAGUAUUAUUAAUGAAAUUUAACGGAUUUGGCGGCAAGAUAGCCCCUUAGAGGAACCUGCCCUAUAAACGAUGAACCACGAAAAACUCUACUUUUCUUAGUAAACAGUUUGUAUAUCGCUGUUGUCAGUUAGAUUCUUGAGAAUAUUUUCAUUCAUGAUAAAUUCAUUGACUUCAAGUAAAGGUGCAGCUUAUAGAAAAGAUAGAGGUGGGUUACAUUUAUAAGAAUAAUACGGAUAAGAUUUAUGAAAUAAUCUUUGAAGGUGGAUUUAACUGUAAAACUUAAGGAAGUUUGGUGAGAGCUCUAUCUUGUGUACACACCGCCCGUCGCUCUCUUUUCAAAAC
This 463-nucleotide ribosomal RNA is filed under the name Yamaguchiella coerulescens. RNAcentral describes it as "partial 12S ribosomal RNA". Lineage: Eukaryota; Metazoa; Arthropoda; Thecostraca; Balanomorpha; Tetraclitidae. The record is from RNAcentral.